AGCUUGCUCUUCAAAUCGAGUGGCGAACGGGUGAGUAACGCGUGAGGAACCUGCCUCAAAGAGGGGGAUAACGUUUUGAAAAGAACGCUAAUACCGCAUAACAUAUCGGAACCGCAUGAUUCUGAUAUCAAAGGAGCAAUCCGCUGAGAGAUGGGCUCGCGUCCGAUUAGUUAGUUGGUGAGGUAACGGCUCACCAAGACUACGAUCGGUAGCCGGACUGAGAGGUUGAUCGGCCACAUUGGGACUGAGACACGGCCCAGACUCC
Molecule: ribosomal RNA, 265 nt
Filed under: uncultured Clostridia bacterium
Lineage: Bacteria; Bacillati; Bacillota; Clostridia
Description: partial 16S ribosomal RNA
Rfam family: Bacterial small subunit ribosomal RNA
Source: RNAcentral